RNAcentral lists this transfer RNA (91 nucleotides) under Felis catus (domestic cat). It matches the Rfam family "tRNA". Rfam says of the family: Transfer RNA (tRNA) molecules are approximately 80 nucleotides in length. Their secondary structure includes four short double-helical elements and three loops (D, anti-codon, and T loops). Further hydrogen bonds mediate the characteristic L-shaped molecular structure. tRNAs have two regions of fundamental functional importance: the anti-codon, which is responsible for specific mRNA codon recognition, and the 3' end, to which the tRNAs corresponding amino acid is attached (by aminoacyl-tRNA synthetases). tRNAs cope with the degeneracy of the genetic code in two manners: having more than one tRNA (with a specific anti-codon) for a particular amino acid; and 'wobble' base-pairing, i.e. permitting non-standard base-pairing at the 3rd anti-codon position. RNAcentral also lists the same sequence under 2 other names. Lineage: Eukaryota; Metazoa; Chordata; Mammalia; Carnivora; Felidae. The record is from Rfam by way of RNAcentral.
GCCUGUGUGGCUCAGUUGGUUGAGCAUCUGACUUUUGAUAUCGGUUCAGGUCAUGAUCUCAGGGUUGUGGGAUCAAGCCCCACAGGGGGCU